RNAcentral lists this ribosomal RNA (253 nucleotides) under uncultured bacterium. Its description in RNAcentral is "partial 16S ribosomal RNA". It matches the Rfam family "Bacterial small subunit ribosomal RNA", at positions 524 to 776 of the family's 1533-position model. The record is from RNAcentral.
UACGGAGGGGGCAAGCGUUGUUCGGAAUUACUGGGCGUAAAGGGCGCGUAGGCGGCACAGCAAGUCGGGAGUGAAAGCCCGGGGCUCAACCCCGGAAUGGCUUUCGAAACUGCUGAGCUAGAGUACAGAAGGGGCAACCGGAAUUCCCAGUGUAGCGGUGAAAUGCGUAGAUAUUGGGAAGAACACCUGAGGCGAAGGCGGGUUGCUGGGCUGAUACUGACGCUGAGGCGCGAAAGCCAGGGGAGCAAACGGG